This is a long non-coding RNA of Drosophila nasuta, 1113 nucleotides long. RefSeq lists it as uncharacterized. The record is from RefSeq and is a predicted model, not a curated record. Lineage: Eukaryota; Metazoa; Arthropoda; Insecta; Diptera; Drosophilidae. The transcript is spliced from 2 exons.
UAUAUAUAUAUAUAUAUGUACAUAUGAUCGGUUGCAAUCAAAUAUAUUUGAACAUGAAUGAGCCCAACCGUGGAAAAGUGGAUAUUUGGCCUUCUUCUAAAUAAAAAAUUAUUUAAAAUAUAAACAACUUGUUUUUUGAAUAUUUUUUCCUUUUAUAUAUAGUAGAAAUAAUCGAUUAUCAUAUUUUUACGAAUUUUACAAUACCUUAGAUUCAGAAGUGUCAAACAUGUAUCCACUUUUGCUCGCCAAUAUAUGUGUAUUAUUAUAAUGUUAGUUUAUUUCCUUAUUUGCCUAACGAACAUUAUAAUUCCUAUAAUUUGAUUGGCUACAGGAAAUUAGUAAUGUGUUAAAUUUAAAUUAAAUGCUAAUUUCCAGCACUAAUACACAAGUUUUAUAAAAGGCAACACACUAAAAGUUUCCAUCAAUUCUAAAAUAAUUUGCAUAAACGAAUAUAUUUAAUAAUGAAGACUUUAUUUCGUUACUAGCGAUAUUUAUGGGACUGUGCCUCAUUUGUAGCGUUUAUUCCAUAAGGACACGCAGUAAAUUUAAAUUUGGUAUAUUCUGCUUUUAUUAAGAAUGGGUAGCGAGUAUCGUAAAGUCGAGCACACUCGAAUGGAGCUUUCUUACUUGUUUUUAUUAUGUUAUAUUAACAAAACCCGUUGGAAUAAUAACAGCUUCAAAUUCCAAAUGUAAUAGUGUGAUUAAUAAAUUUAUUUAAGAAAAUCUUCUUAAAUAAAGACUACAAAUUCGAAAUGUAAUAGGGCAAUCUUGUUAUUCAAUAUAUGUGACGAAGUAAAUGUUAACCAAUUAUAUAAAAAUAUAUAUUCGUUAAUGAUGUGGUAAAUUUAAAUUUAAUGCUAAUUACUAAAUUAUUGCACAAGUCCUAUAAAAGGCAACACACCAAAAGCUUCUCAGUCAAUUCUAAAAUAAUCUGCAGAAAUGAAACUCUUGGCGUUAGUAUUGGGUCUGAUUCUCAUUUGCGUGACACGCGAUCCGUAUAAUUCAAUAGACUUUAAAUAAUUUAACGUACAAAAAGAAUUUGUAAGAAAAGCAUUUUUUUCUAAUUGCACACUUACACUAAAAGUACGUAAUAAACAUAUAUUGGUUUUUAAA